Molecule: long non-coding RNA, 464 nt
Filed under: Lathyrus oleraceus (garden pea)
Lineage: Eukaryota; Viridiplantae; Streptophyta; Magnoliopsida; Fabales; Fabaceae
Description: Pisum sativum (pea) long non-coding RNA (PSAT_LNC000906)
Source: RNAcentral
AGGGGCACCUCCACAUCAACAAUAUCAGCAAACCCCUCAUCCUCAGUACUCUCAGCCAGCACAUCAUCUACCUCAACAGCAGCCACCACUUUCAUCCGGAAAUCCACCUCAACUGCAAUCUUCCAUGGGUCACCACCAUCUCGAAGAACCAUCUUUUGUUCCUUCUCAGAGUUAUCCUCCCAAUCUCCGCCAACCACCAUCUCAGCCACCCAGUGGACCUCCUCCACCUGCCCAGCAAUUCUAUGGGACACCGUCCCAAGGAUAUGAAUCACCAUCAAGUAGAUCUGGUUCAAGUUAUUCUUCUGGAUAUGGUACAUUAUCUGGGCCUGCUGAGCCAUAUCGAUAUGGUGGGCCACCUCAGUAUGGUGGCAAACAACCACAAGUACAUAACGUCUCUGUGUCUUCCAGUGGUGGAAGUGGUUACCCACAGCUUCCAACUGCCCGUGCUCUCCCACAAGCAAUAC